UAACUGGAGGACCGAACCGACUAAUGUUGAAAAAUUAGCGGAUGACCUGUGGCUGGGGGUGAAAGGCCAAUCAAACCGGGAGAUAGCUGGUUCUCCCCGAAAGCUAUUUAGGUAGCGCCUCGUGAAUUCAUCUCCGGGGGUAGAGCACUGUUUCGGCUAGGGGGCCAUCCCGGCUUACCAACCCGAUGCAAACUGCGAAUACCGGAGAAUGUUAUCACGGGAGACACACGGCGGGUGCUAACGUCCGUCGUGAAGAGGGAAACAACCCAGACCGCCAGCUAAGGUCCCAAAGUCAUGGUUAAGUGGGAAACGAUGUGGGAAGGCCCAGACAGCCAGGAUGUUGGCUUAGAAGCAGCCAUCAUUUAAAGAAAGCGUAAUAGCUCACUGGUCGAGUCGGCCUGCGCGGAAGAUGUAACGGGGCUAAACCAUGCACCGAAGCUGCGGCAGCGAACGUAUCACUUAAAGCGAUUCAGCGGGUUACGAUUGACGGAGCGAAGCGACGUCAAAGCGUAUACAAAGUCGAGUCGGUUUAAGGAUACGUUCGUUGGGUAGGGGAGCGUUCUGUAAGCCUGCGAAGGUGGCCUGUGAGGGUUGCUGGAGGUAUCAGAAGUGCGAAUGCUGACAUAAGUAACGAUAAAGCGGGUGAAAAGCCCGCUCGCCGGAAGACCAAGGGUUCCUGUCCAACGUUAAUCGGGGCAGGGUGAGUCGACCCCUAAGGCGAGGCCGAAAGGCGUAGUCGAUGGGAAACGGGUUAAUAUUCCCGUACUUGGUGUUACUGCGAAGGGGGGACGGAGAAGGCUAUGUUGGCCGGGCGACGGUUGUCCCGGUUUAAGCGUGUAGGUGUGUGUUCCAGGUAAAUCCGGUU
RNAcentral lists this ribosomal RNA (865 nucleotides) under Salmonella enterica subsp. enterica serovar Typhimurium. RNAcentral describes it as "partial 23S ribosomal RNA". It matches the Rfam family "Bacterial large subunit ribosomal RNA", at positions 763 to 1547 of the family's 2925-position model. Lineage: Bacteria; Pseudomonadati; Pseudomonadota; Gammaproteobacteria; Enterobacterales; Enterobacteriaceae. The record is from RNAcentral.